UGCAAGCAGCCGCGGUAAGACAGAGGGUUCACACGUUGCUCGGAAUUAUUGGGCGUAAAGGGCGCGCAGGCGGUCUUGUCAGUCAGGUGUGAAAGCCCGGGGCUCAACCCCGGAUGGUCACUUGAAACAGCAAGACUUGAGUACGGGAGAGGAGAGAGGAAUUCCUGGUGUAGAGGUGAAAUUCGUAGAUAUCAGGAGGAACACCGAUGGCGAAGGCAUCUCUCUGGACCGAUACUGACGCUGAGGCGCGAAGGCGUGGGUAGCGAACGGGAUUAGAUA
RNAcentral lists this ribosomal RNA (279 nucleotides) under uncultured bacterium. Its description in RNAcentral is "partial 16S ribosomal RNA". It matches the Rfam family "Bacterial small subunit ribosomal RNA", at positions 506 to 784 of the family's 1533-position model. The record is from RNAcentral.